This 72-nucleotide transfer RNA is filed under the name Schistosoma japonicum. It matches the Rfam family "tRNA". From Rfam's summary of the family: Transfer RNA (tRNA) molecules are approximately 80 nucleotides in length. Their secondary structure includes four short double-helical elements and three loops (D, anti-codon, and T loops). Lineage: Eukaryota; Metazoa; Platyhelminthes; Trematoda; Strigeidida; Schistosomatidae. The record is from Rfam by way of RNAcentral.
GGGGGCGUAGCUCAGUGGUAGAGCGCUCGCUUCGCAUGCGAGAGGACCCGGGAUCAAUCCCCGGCGCCUCCA